UACGUAGGUGGCAAGCGUUGUCCGGAUUCAUUGGGCGUAAAGGGUGCGUAGGCGGGCCUUUAAGUCAGGGGUGAAAUCCUGGAGCUCAACUCCAGAACUGCCUUUGAUACUGAAGAUCUUGAGUUCGGGAGAGGUGAGUGGAACUGCGAGUGUAGAGGUGAAAUUCGUAGAUAUUCGCAAGAACACCAGUGGCGAAGGCGGCUCACUGGCCCGAUACUGACGCUGAGGCACGAAAGCGUGGGGAGCAAACAGG
RNAcentral lists this ribosomal RNA (253 nucleotides) under uncultured bacterium. Its description in RNAcentral is "partial 16S ribosomal RNA". It matches the Rfam family "Bacterial small subunit ribosomal RNA", at positions 524 to 776 of the family's 1533-position model. The record is from RNAcentral.